GGCUCAGAUUAAACGCUGGCGGCAUGCCUUACACAUGCAAGUCGAACGGCAGCACGGGGGCAACCUGGUGGGCGAGUGGCGAACGGGUGAGUAAUGCAUCGGAACGUGCCAUUGAGUGGGGGAUAACGUAGCGAAAGUUGCGCUAAUACCGCAUAUUCUGUGAGCAGGAAAGCAGGGGACCGCAAGGCCUUGCGCUCUUUGAGCGGCCGAUGUCAGAUUAGCUAGUUGGUGAGGUAACGGCUUACCAAGGCGACGAUCUGUAGCGGGUCUGAGAGGAUGAUCCGCCACACUGGAACUGAGACACGGUCCAGACUCCUACGGGAGGCAGCAGUGGGGAAUUUUGGACAAUGGGCGCAAGCCUGAUCCAGCCAUGCCGCGUGAGUGAAGAAGGCCUUCGGGUUGUAAAGCUCUUUCGGCCGGGAAGAAAUCGCAUGGGUUAAUACCCUGUGUGGAUGACGGUACCGGAAUAAGAAGCACCGGCUAACUACGUG
This 491-nucleotide ribosomal RNA is filed under the name uncultured bacterium. RNAcentral describes it as "bacterial SSU rRNA". It matches the Rfam family "Bacterial small subunit ribosomal RNA", at positions 21 to 507 of the family's 1533-position model. The record is from RNAcentral.